CUACCAUGGCAAUCACGGGUAACGGAGAAUUAGGGUUCGAUUCCGGAGAGGGAGCCUGAGAAACGGCUACCACAUCUACGGAAGGCAGCAGGCGCGAAAAUUGCCCAAUCCUGAUUCAGGGAGGCAGUGACAAGAAAUAACAACUCUCGACUAUGUUGAGAAGUGUAAUGAGGAUAAUUUACAAACCUUACCGAAAGCAAUUGGAGGGCAAGUCUGGUGCCAGCAGCCGCGGUAAUUCCAGCUCCAAAGGCGUAUAUUAAAGUUGUUGCAGUUAAAAAGCUCGUAGUUGAAAUUCUGGCUGUAUUGGGCCUCUGCACUCGAUGCGAAGGAACCAGCAGUCAUCCGCUUGCAAAUACAUGUCCUUCCUUAACCGGUAGGCUGUAUAAGUAAGCAUUUUACCUUGAGAAAAACAGAGUGUUCCAGGCAGGUUUGUCCGGAAUGCGUUAGCAUGGAAUAAUAGAAUAUGACUGAAGUCGAUUUAUUGGUUAAAGGCUUUGGUAAUGAUUAAUAGGAACAAUCGGGGGCAUUGGUACUUGUCAGUCAGAGGUGAAAUUCUAGGAUUUGACAAAGACUAACUGAUGCGAAAGCGUUUGCCAAGAAUGUUUUCAUUAAUCAAGAACGAAAGUUAGGGGAUC
This 635-nucleotide ribosomal RNA is filed under the name uncultured eukaryote. Its description in RNAcentral is "SSU rRNA". It matches the Rfam family "Eukaryotic small subunit ribosomal RNA", at positions 341 to 999 of the family's 1831-position model. The record is from RNAcentral.